Molecule: ribosomal RNA, 500 nt
Filed under: uncultured bacterium
Lineage: Bacteria
Description: bacterial SSU rRNA
Rfam family: Bacterial small subunit ribosomal RNA
Source: RNAcentral
GAUGAACGCUAGCGGCAGGCCUAAUACAUGCAAGACGAACGGUAAGUUGAGUAGCAAUACUUAGCCAAGAGUGUCGUACGGGUGCGUAACACGUAUGCAACCUACCCUAUACAGGAGGAUAGCCUAGGGAAACCUGGAUUAACCCUUCAUAGUAUUAUUGGAUGGCAUCAUUUGAUAAUUAAAACUGAGGUGGUAUAGGAUGGGCAUGCGUCUGAUUAGUUAGUUGGCGGGGUAAUGGCCCACCAAGACGAUGAUCAGUAGGGGUUCUGAGAGGAAGAUCCCCCACACUGGCACUGAGAUACGGGCCAGACUCCUACGGGAGCAGCAGUAGGGAAUAUUGGUCAAUGGAUGCAAGUCUGAACCAGCCAUGCCGCGUGCAGGAAGAAGGCCUUCUGGGUUGUAAACUGCUUUUGCCAGGGGAUAAAAUUUCCAUGCGUGGAAAACUGAAGGUACCUGGGUGAAUAAGCCACGGCUAACUACGUGCCAGCAGCCGCGGUAAU